This 530-nucleotide ribosomal RNA is filed under the name uncultured bacterium. RNAcentral's name for it is "partial 16S ribosomal RNA". It matches the Rfam family "Bacterial small subunit ribosomal RNA", at positions 349 to 868 of the family's 1533-position model. The record is from RNAcentral.
CANCAGUAGGNAUUCUUCCCCAAUGGANNAAAUUUCNGAGGGANCANCNCCGCGUGAACGAANAAGUCUUUNGGNUNGNAAAGUUCNGUUNUUAGGNAAGANCAAGUCCCAGAGUAACUGNUGGUACCUUGACGGUACCUAACCAGAAAGCCACGGCUAACUACGUGCCAGCAGCCGCGGUAAUACGUAGGUGGCAAGCGUUGUCCGGAAUUAUUGGGCGUAAAGCGCNCGCAGGUGGUUCCUUAAGUCUGAUGUGAAAGCCCCCGGCUCAACCGNGGAGGGUCAUUGGAAACUGGGGAACUUGAGUGCAGAAGAGGAAAGUGGAAUUCCAAGUGUAGCGGUGAAAUGCGUAGAGAUUUGGAGGAACACCAGUGGCGAAGGCGACUUUCUGGUCUGUAACUGACACUGAGGCGCGAAAGCGUGGGGAGCAAACAGGAUUAGAUACCCUGGUAGUCCACGCCGUAAACGAUGAGUGCUAAGUGUUAGAGGGUUUCCCGCCCUUUAGUGCUGCAGCUAACGCAUUAAGCACU